GCUGUAGGAGAGACUGUACCACACUCAGCUGCAUGGAAGAUGGCUCCCAUCCUUUGAAUGGACCCCUGGUCCUUGGCCACCAGAAGACUGAAUGAGGGGAAAUGUCUCCUGUCAGCUUCAUCACGGACCAGUGGCCAAGAGCAGCAUCCACGGGACAGGCUUUCUACUAUGGACCAGUGAGAGGUAAGGAGCAAAGCCCAGCAGUGCUGGACUCUGCUUUUGAAAUCUUUGGCCUUUCCAUCUUCAGGAAACUCCAGGGAAGCUGGCGAGGACUAUUUCCCAGGGGGAUGUUAUGUGCUGUGAGUUCUAUGACAGUGAGCAGUGGAACAUGUAAACUGUCCAGAACCUGGCCGAGAGUGGGCCUUCUCUGGACUGGUGGCCUUGGCUCCCUCCUGGCUUCCCUUGCUUGGACCUCGUGCAAGUGACUUACUGAGAGAACGUCACAUUCACAGAGACCAGCCUGGCUUAUAAACACAGUAACCAGCCGGCAGCUCGAGCUGCAGUCAGAAGGUUCCGGGAGACGCUUCCUCUGGGCUGGUGAUCCCAGAGCCUGGCUGUAUGAGUGCAAUACACAGGUGUCCUACUUCCGGUUCUCUGCUCCCGCUCUUGUGCCUUCUCACCCUUCCAGGACUUCCUCCAGUGCCAGAGGAGAGGGAAGAGAGGCAGGAGGCCCAGGACAAGAGUCCAAAGAUGGGCCCCAACAAGGCUGCAGGUCACAGUGGAAGAAAUGGUUGCUACCUAUGGAUUGACCUUCAAGGGGAAACGACCCAGCUGGGAAGGAGGAGAAAAUGAAAUGUUGCCUGGAGACAAUGGCCGAGACAGCAGGUCGCACCCAGCACAGCCGCCUUCACCUCUCCCCACGGCCCUGUCCCGCCUUUGCAGUUGGGUCUGCACAUUUCUCUGCUGAGCCUGAACCUGAAGAGUCUGUGGCAGUGGCGGCAGUGCUGAUCACUUCACCCUGUGCUCAUGGAGCACAGCAACGAGAUUGGGAGAAUGGAUUUCGGCCAGGGAUGAAGGAGGUAUCUCAGGAAGGAUUUCAUCUCCACCAACACUCAGGUGUGGACCCGUGUUUUCAGGGCAGGUGGAGGAGCAAGGAGCAGCCAGGGCUGUGUCCCAGGUCUUUGCAGUCCCCCUCCCACAGCGUGCACCUUGUCCUCAGUCCUCAUGCAGCAGUGGUGGGAAGCAGGCUGUGGCCAGCGGGGGAGCCUGGCCAUGGCCACACAGGAGAAGCUGGAGGGAGAGCAGUUGUUGGCUGGGGUCCUGGGUGUGUCGCAGUCGCCCCCUGCAGGCCCUGGGGCAGGAGACAGGGCUGA
Molecule: long non-coding RNA, 1313 nt
Filed under: Chinchilla lanigera (long-tailed chinchilla)
Lineage: Eukaryota; Metazoa; Chordata; Mammalia; Rodentia; Chinchillidae
Description: lncRNA (ENSCLAG00000027693.1)
Source: RNAcentral